This 253-nucleotide ribosomal RNA is filed under the name uncultured bacterium. RNAcentral's name for it is "partial 16S ribosomal RNA". It matches the Rfam family "Bacterial small subunit ribosomal RNA", at positions 524 to 776 of the family's 1533-position model. The record is from RNAcentral.
GACAGAGGAUGCAAGCGUUAUCCGGAAUGAUUGGGCGUAAAGCGUCUGUAGGUGGCUUUUUAAGUCCGCCGUCAAAUCCCAGGGCUCAACCCUGGACAGGCGGUGGAAACUACCAAGCUGGAGUACGGGAGAGGGCAGUGGAAUUCCUGGUGUAGCGGUGAAAUGCGUAGAUAUCAGGAGGAACACCGGUGGCGAAGGCGGCUGCCUGGCCUAGAACUGACGCUGAGGUGCGAAAGCGUGGGGAGCGAACGGG